GCUCUGUUGUGGACAUUGAGAGCUUCACUAGUACCAGACAAUGACAAACUGUCAUUUUAAGGUGGAAUACCAAUUUUCAUUCCCUUUAGUAGUGCAGAAAAGUUCUUGUUUUUACACAUCAAGGCCAAUAUUUGGCAUUUUUUAACUAAAAAAUUUCCCACUCUGAAGAAUAUGAAAUAUUUUUGUAUUUUUUGCAUUUUUGUUAGUGAAGUUAAUAUUUUCAUGUUUUAGACUACGCAGUUUCCUCUUUGUGAACUUCCUGUUCAUAUCCUUUUCCCAUUCUUCUAUUAGUUCACUUUGCCUUUGUUUUAUUGUAUUUCAAUAUCUCAUACACUAAUUCCUUAUUGGUUAUAUUUAUUAUUAAGAUUUUCUCCCACUCUAUACUUUUCCUUUUUUUCCUUUUUUUUUUUUUUUUUUUUGCUUACACCACAGGGCAUGCAUGCAGGAUCCUAGUUCCCCCACGAGGGAUCAAACCCCGACUCCUGCAGUGAAGCGCAGUGUCUUAACCACUGGACCGCCAGGGUAAGUCCCCAUAGUAUAUACAUUUGUAUGAUACAAAGGUGUUUGCUUAACCUGCUUGAAUUUAUAAAUAUUUUCCUUUGUAACUUAUGCCUUUUGUAUCUUAGUUAAGGACACAAACAUCACCCAGAGAUCAUACAGAUAUUCUAUAUAUUCUUUUUCUAAAUACUUUAAGAUUUACUUUUCAUAAAUAGAUUUUAAUCCACCUGGAAUUUAUUCUUUAAUGGAUUGAUAUUUUCUAAUAUUUUCCCUUUGGAUAUUAAUAAUCAUAUUUGAACCCCAUGUAUUGAAUGUUCAUCCUUUCUCCACCAAUUUUUAAAUUGCGGUAUGCUGCUGCUGCUAAGUCACUUCAGUCGUGUCCGACUCUGUGCGACCCCACAGACGGCAGCCCACCAGGCUCCCCUGUCCCUGGGAUUCUCCAGGCAAGAACACUGGAGUGGGGUGCCAUUGCCUUCUCCGAAAUUGCGGUAUGGUUGACAUUAAUUCAGUCAAUACAGAACACUUCUAUCACAAAGAUCUCUCAAGUUGCCUUUUACAGUCGUAUUUCCUUUCCACCCACCCCCACUUCUUCUUUAAUAUCAGGCAAUUGCUGGUCUGUUCUACAUGUCUAUAAUCUUUGCAUUUCAAGAAUAUUACAUACAGUUCCGGCAGGGAGUGCGGUGAGAAGCGGAUGGCGGCCUUCAACCCGGAGGUCCUCUGGCCUCCGGUGGGCAGCCUAA
This 1238-nucleotide long non-coding RNA is filed under the name Bos indicus x Bos taurus (hybrid cattle). Its description in RNAcentral is "lncRNA (ENSBIXG00005007715.1)". The record is from RNAcentral. Lineage: Eukaryota; Metazoa; Chordata; Mammalia; Artiodactyla; Bovidae.